RNAcentral lists this unclassified non-coding RNA (168 nucleotides) under uncultured Protoventuria. RNAcentral's name for it is "sequence contains ITS1". Lineage: Eukaryota; Fungi; Ascomycota; Dothideomycetes; Venturiales; Venturiaceae. The record is from RNAcentral.
CAGAGUACGAGCGUACCACUCUCUAGUGGUGUUCUAACCUCCACCCUUGAAUAAAUUACCUUUGUUGCUUUGGCGGGUCGUCUUUGACCAGCGGCUUCGGCUGUUGCGUGCCCGCCAGAGGACCACAACUCUUGUUUUUAGUGAUGUCUGAGUACUAUAUAAUAGUUA